This 244-nucleotide long non-coding RNA is filed under the name Lathyrus oleraceus (garden pea). RNAcentral's name for it is "Pisum sativum (pea) long non-coding RNA (PSAT_LNC015035)". Lineage: Eukaryota; Viridiplantae; Streptophyta; Magnoliopsida; Fabales; Fabaceae. The record is from RNAcentral.
AAACGAACCUGUUAGUGACCAUGAUUCAUAUUAUGUCAAAAAUUUCUGAUGAAUAUGCAAUAUUCUUAGGGGUUUCACAACCGUUAGGCUAAAUGAUCGGGUGAUGGUCACCUAACUUAGAAGGUGGAUUCCUUUUUCUAUUUCUUUCUUUUCCAGAUUUGACUUUUCUUUUUCUUUCUUUUUAGCACGGGAUCAUUCACCUAUUUGCAUCGGUCCACUUAUUUAGUGGUAAUUUAGAUGGUGC